GACAGAGGGUGCAAACGUUGUUCGGAAUUACUGGGCGUAAAGCGCGCGUAGGUGGCCUCAUAAGUCCGUUGUGAAAGUCAAAGGCUCAACCUUUGAAAGCCGGUGGAUACUGUGAGGCUAGAGUACGGAAGAGGCGAGUGGAAUUCCUGGUGUAGCGGUGGAAUGCGCAGAUAUCAGGAGGAACACCAAUAGCGAAGGCAGCUCGCUGGGACGUUACUGACACUGAGGCGCGAAAGCGUGGGGAGCGAACAGG
Molecule: ribosomal RNA, 253 nt
Filed under: uncultured bacterium
Lineage: Bacteria
Description: partial 16S ribosomal RNA
Rfam family: Bacterial small subunit ribosomal RNA
Source: RNAcentral